GUGCAGCACAGCGCUCCCUCGCCCUCCCACGCCGCGGUCAUGUCACGAAACAUCCUUCAUGUUGGGAUGCUGUCUCACUCACCAGGAACAACUGUGGGAUUCCGAGGAGCUGCUAAUUACACUACUUGCCUUCAUCCAUCACAAAUGUAAGUGGAAACUGUGGUUGUGUGUGAAUUAAAGCAAGUCCUUGGGAGCUCAUGUGAAGAAAGACAAGCCCUCAGAGAAACUCCAGGUGCUCCAGAGCAUCUGCACAGCAGUGGCAGGGUGUACCUGGCACUUGUCUCUGGCUGCUCUUUGUGCAUUUCCACUAGGAAGUUUUCCAACUCUUUCUAGCUGUGUGCAACACAGACCCCUCUCUGCUCUGAGCCCCUGAGUGUGAGAGCAACACCACGAGAGCUUUAGGAAGAGUCAUCAGGCAGGAUAUGAGUGCAGGGAUGCCUUGAUGAGCUACUGCUUUCUCUGCCCUCCCAGCCCAUGGGCUGACGUUCAGGACCGCCUGAGUGUAUUUGCAUAUCAGAAGUUUUACUUUAACUACUAAAUAGUUCCUGACUCCUUCUGGCUCACCUCCUGCCUGCCAGAGUGCUUGAGCCUUCCUUCUUCCCUUCCUGCAGCCUGCCACUGUGAGCUCUUGGGGUCACCUGGCUUCAGCAGCAGCCUGACACAGACACUGCCACCACCACGCCAUCGGCAGCAGCGCAGCUUGGGUUCUCUGCUCCAGUCCAGAGACAGUGUAUUUACCUCCCAUGCCUCACAGAGUCGCUCCAUGUACCGAGUAGAGUUUAGAGCCAAAAGCUGGGAUCUAGCAGCAAUGCAGAGGCCAAUUCUCUCCCUGGGCAGCUAGAAAUCAUGAAAUGAUAAUGAAGUCCCACGCCCGCGCUGUGCAGCUUGCUUCUCCCUCCCUGGAUCAACUCCAGCUCUCAUUCUUGGAAACAGCUCCUGGCUGCUGUAGAGACGUUUUCUCCUCUCUCCACCCAUCUGACUCACUGCUCUCAAAGCACUUCCUUCAAAGUCCUGGUCUAGGAUCCAAAAGUUAGGGAGAAGUCCACACUGUGUGACCCUGGGCCUGGGUAGAAAAUCAUCAGGAUCCUGAUUUUACAAGAGAUUAUUUCAGAUCUGGCAGCAAAAUGCUCACAUUGGCAAAUGCCUGAGAAUAAAAUCACAGCAAAGUCAAAGAGAAGCUUGACUGGCAUUUAUUGUCUUCCUGAAGCGGGGGAAGCCCAGCGUCCCUCUUAGCCCUUGGGAAGGCUCUUUGUACUAAGAUUAUUCUGCUGUUGCCAAGAUUCACGGUAGGACUCAUGCACGUUGAAGGACAUUGGUUAUAUUUUUCUAUAAACUUUUCUUCCUCUAUCUUUUAUGAUCUCUCCAAAAACACCAUGUAGUGACACACUCCAUUGCUUCAGGCAGUAUCAGUCCUGACACAGUAAUGGGAAAGGCCGCUUCCAGUAUAGUCCCACGAUUCAGCUUUAUCUCAGUGAUGUACACAAAGAUUUCCCCUUCCUCCGUGACAGAAAACACGAGACCACCCUUCAGCUCGUUAUGGCUUUAUGAACACAAAAACCCAGCCAAGUGGACUUGGCUGAAUACACAAAGAGCCUCAACUUCUCGCCUCAACGUGGCGAGGCAACAUGCUACAGCUGAAGUGUUUUUGCCAUCUGUCGGCAGCAUCACGCUGGGCUGAGGACACUACAGUGGUGGUGGGUCUUGCAGUAAAACUUGGUUUUGUAGCUGCUCUACCACACAUCUCCGGCAGCACAGCUCUACCGGUGACACACCUCUUCCUAUCCCUGAGUGACACCGCUGAGCUUAAAGUCUAGCAUAAACCAAAUACAAAAAACAGAAGAUGUUUAUCCCAACUGGUAUGAAAACAGACAAUGCUACAAGGCUACAUAUGAAAAAAAGGGAGCUUUAAAGAGCGAGAGGCUCAAGAACCAAAUACCUCAUUCUUGAGAAGGUAUGCAGAGGGCAGCACGGAAGAGAGGCAUAUAAAGCCUAGCACAUAUGGUACUGUCUUAGACCCUGAGCUGAUUAAGAAACAAAAAGCUGCCUGCACAAUUCAAGUCAGAGUUUAACUGCUGUCUGCUGCAACAGUCCAACCUGUGCUGCUUGCGUGGUCCCAACAGCGCAUGUGUCCGGGACAGCCCUGUGUAGCAGCUAUGCCAAGAAGGUAGCAAAACACAGGCAGCACAGAGAGCAGGGCGCUUUGAUCUUCCUCCAGUGAAAGUACAGCUGCUUUCAUUAAGCUAACAGCUCCAAAUCAGUGCUCUGGUCGCUCAGUUCAAGAAGCUGAGCCGCGGCAGGACAGCUGCCAGUGGCUCUCUUGAAACGCGCUCCUUCCUCAUCAGGACCCUGCUGUGGAAGCAGCACAAGGGCUUGCGAGCAGUGCAAAACUGGUCAGUUUGACCCGAGCCGGCACAGUUACAGCAAUACAAGGUCUCAGCAGGGGCACAGAAAUGCUGGGGAAAAGCAGUGGUUGAGACAACAGAAUUCUGGAUACAGAACAGGCGUUUCCAGCAUGAGGGCCAGAUCACACUACUACAGCUGGUAGACGUGGCCACCCGAUCUGAAAGACCAAAGCAGGGCACUGCUGGGGCAGCAAACCUAAGGCUGCAAAGCAAAAUCUGCUGGGCAUUUCCUCCUGCACCCCAACCCUGCAGAGUACAGAAAACUCACGUAAAGGCCUCGGUCACCAUCAAAAGCUUCCCUUCUGACCUCACAGUCAACUUCCCAUAGCAAAACAGGCCUAAACGAAUAAUUGAUUACGCAAAAGUCAUUGUGCAGUAACAGCUGACAUUCAAAGAGAGAAAAAUCAUUUCUAGAGCAAGGGCUCUGAUAGCUGUGGUGCCCGAGAACAGACAGGGAACACAAAUACUUCCAGGGCCUGUUCUUACACUUCAUCAUCUCAGACUCUGUGUCCCCACAGCACCAUAUCAGGGCUGCAGAGCAGACAGAGGCUGAGUUCUUUUCUUUUUACAGCACAGGAAGAUCCUGGCAAAGACAGGUAAUAACUUACUAACAGAUCUUUUUGUUUCAUACAAGUUUUCUCUCUGCUUUAGUGCAGAGACCCACUGUCUUGGGCAUUGCUUAGGGAACAAAAUGUCUGAUCACACACAUGGGAGAAUGUCCUAAUGCAACACCAAUAACAUAAGAAACUAAAAAUAAAGCUAAGUGCUCUCCUAAAUCUUCAAAUUUCCAAACAGCCUAACUUUUAAAGGUGUGGCUUGGAGCUAUUUAGGAAGAGGGAUAUAAACUCUUUGUUAGCCAUAAUCACAGAAAAAGCAAAGAGACCCCAGAGGGACUGCCUGAAGUUUCACUCACUGUGAAAGAGGUCACCUGGUAUUCCCCCAACCAGGCUCUAAGCAGACCUGGAGCAUUCCCUGUACUGAAAAGUUAGCUCCAUCUCUGGGGGGGGGGGGGGAAGGAGUGGAAGUCAGGGGAAAGAUAUUUAUUUGGAAACAGGCAGGAACAGUACCCUGACACUGUUCUGUGCUUUACUGUGGUGUAAGAUGGCAGCCAGGGAAAGAACUGAUUUCUCCCGAAACCAGCCUCAGGCUUUCUGCUAAUUCUCACGUCAUUCAGUAUGAACUUUGCUAACAUGCAUCCAGGUCAAAAUUGAAAUGGCUUAAGGUGGGGUCAAUUUGUGCAUGUUUGAAGAUACCAGGGAAUCCAAAAAAACACCUUUCCACUUCUCCAUUGUUCCAAUUUGCUGCCCCCAGCAAUACCAUAUAGUAUUGCCACAUGUAAACCCCUUUAUAUGUUACUCAUAUAAAGCAAGUUGAUCCACCA
Long non-coding RNA from Cygnus olor (mute swan), 3783 nucleotides. RefSeq lists it as uncharacterized. The transcript has 2 exons. Lineage: Eukaryota; Metazoa; Chordata; Aves; Anseriformes; Anatidae. The record is from RefSeq and is a predicted model, not a curated record.